GAUGAACGCUAGCGGCAGGCUUAACACAUUCAAGUCGAGGGGUAUAGUAGCAAUACUAGAUACCUGAGCACGGGUGCGUAACGCGUAUGCAAUCUACCUUUCACAGAGGGAUAGACCAGAGAAAUUUGGAUUAAUACCUCCUAGUAUAGUAUCUGGGCAUGAAGGGACUAUUAAAGUCACAACGGUGAAAGAUGAGCCUUCGUCGCAUUAUUUAGUUGGUAAGGUAACUGCUUACCAGGAUUACGAUGGGUAGGGGUCCUUAGAGGGAGGUCCCCACCACUGGUAAUGAGACACGGACCAAACUCCUACGGGAGGCAGAAGUGAGGAAUAUUGGAGAAUGGGCACAUGCCUGAUCCAGCAAUGUCGCGUGCAGGAUGACGGUCCUAUGGAUUGUAAACUGCUUUUGUACAGGAAGAAACACCCCGACGUGUCGUGACUUGACGGUACUGUAAGAAUAAGGAUCGGCUAACUCCGUGCCAGCAGCCGCCGUAA
RNAcentral lists this ribosomal RNA (492 nucleotides) under uncultured bacterium. RNAcentral's name for it is "partial 16S ribosomal RNA". It matches the Rfam family "Bacterial small subunit ribosomal RNA", at positions 28 to 523 of the family's 1533-position model. The record is from RNAcentral.